UACAGAGGUCCCAAGCGUUGUUCGGAUUCACUGGGCGUAAAGGGUGCGAAGGCGGUCGGGUAAGUCUGAUGUGAAAUCUCACAGCUUAACUGUGAAACUGCAUUGGAUACUAUCCGGCUCGAGGAAUGGAGGGGAGACUGGAAUACUUGGUGCAGCAGUGAAAUGCGUAGAUAUCAAGUGGAACACCAGUGGCGAAGGCGAGUCUCUGGACAUUUCCUGACGCUGAGGCGCGAAAGCCAGGGGAGCGAACGGG
Molecule: ribosomal RNA, 253 nt
Filed under: uncultured bacterium
Lineage: Bacteria
Description: partial 16S ribosomal RNA
Rfam family: Bacterial small subunit ribosomal RNA
Source: RNAcentral